RNAcentral lists this long non-coding RNA (6274 nucleotides) under Sus scrofa (pig). RNAcentral's name for it is "lncRNA (ENSSSCG00000043928.1)". The record is from RNAcentral. Lineage: Eukaryota; Metazoa; Chordata; Mammalia; Artiodactyla; Suidae.
CUGGGCCAGAAAUCAAACCCGUGCUGCCACAGCAGUGACCUGAAAUGCUGCACUGACAAUGCUGGAUCCUUAACCCACUGUGCCACAAAGGAACGCCUAAGUUCCUAGCACUUAAGUUUUAAGCAUUAAAGAAACAGUGGAUUCUGAGGAGUUCCCACUGUGGUGCAGUGGGUUAAGAACCUGACUGCAGGAGUGUGCUUGAGGUACAACAGGUUAAGGCUCCAGCAUGGUCACCAGUUAAGGGUCACUGCUGUGGCAUGGGUUUGAUUCCUGGCCUGGGAACCUCGACAGGCCGCAGAAAAAGAAAAAAAAGAAAAAAAGAACCCAAUUGCCAUGGCUUGGGUCACUGUGGAGGCAUGGGUUCGAUCCCUGGCCCGGCACAGGGGAUGAAAGGUCUAGUGUUGCUGCAGCUGUGACUGAAGCCACGGCUGCAGCUCAGAUUCAGUCCCUGAUGCAGGAACUCCCUUGUACCCUGGGUGUGGCCAUUAAAAAAAAAAAAAGAAAGAAAAAGUGGAUUCUGGUGACAAGGUUCUUGGAUGUCACAAUUCUGAGAAAGGAGGACCCCUCUCCAUCCUUGGAGAUGUGGAAAUUCACUCAGGAAGCCGUCCCAGGUCCACACAGCAUCCUUCAGAAAGCAGGCACGUACCCUUCAUGCACCUGUCACAUACUGACUUGAGCACCUGUGAUAGGCUGGGUGCUGAGGUCUCGACGGGGAGAGUAAGGCAGGAAAUCACAGACACAUACAAUCACGACUGGGAGCAGCUCUGAACUACAGGAACAAGUGCUUCUGAAGUGCCUUUCCUGCUGGAAGAAGCGAAAUACUCAGAAGAAGUCAAGUUGCAAGGUCAACUAGAGAUUCUCAUACUAAGUGGAGUAAGUCAGAAAGAGAAAGACAAAUACCAUACGAUAUCGCUUAUCUGUGGAAUCUAAAAUAUGGCACAAAUGAACCUACCUACAGAACAGACACAGACACGGAAAACAGACUUGUCACUGCCAAGGGGGAGCGGGAGGGAGGGGGAUGGACUGGGAGUUUGGGUUAGGAGGUGCAAACUAUUACAUUUAGAAGGGAUGAGCAAUGAGAGUGUGCUGUAUAGCACAGGGAACUAUAUCCAAUCACUUAUAAUAGGAACAUUAUAGAAUUAACAUAAGAAAAAGAAUAUAAGAAACGAACUCAUGGACUUGGAGAACAAACUUGGGGUGCCGAGCUCAGGGUAGUGGGACAGACUUGGGAUUUGGGGUUAGUAGAUGCAAACUAUUGCAUUUGGAGUAGAUAAGCAAUGAGAACCUGCUGUUUAGCACAGGGAACUAUAUCUAAUCACUUGUGAUGGAACAUGAUGGAGGAUAAUGUGAGAAAAAGAAUGUGUAUCUAUGUAUGACUGGGUCACUUUGCUGUACAGCAGAAAUGACAGAGCAUUGUCAAUCAGCUAUAAUUUAAAACCUUUUUUUAAAAAAAGUAAGAUUUUUUUGGAUCAGUGGAAACAAAUCCACCUAGGAUCCGUAAGGAUGUGGGUUUGACCCCUGGCCUCACUCAGUGGGUCAGGGAUCUGGCGUUGCCAGAAGCUGUGGUAAAGGUUGCAGACGUGGCUCGGAUCCUGUGUUGCUGUGGCUGUGGUGUAGGCCAGCAGCUGUGGCUCCAAUUUGACCCCUAGCCUGGAACUUUCAUAUGCCAUGGAUGUGGGCCUAAAAAAGCUAAAAAUAAAAUACAAAAAUAAAAAAGUAAAAAUAGUUAAGAUUUUUAAAAAAACGCUUGGAAGGCAUUUUUCUGUCCUUGCAAGAUCUCAUCCAGAAAACCUGAUCCAGGGGCAGGAAGGUGAUGUGGCGCCGAGGAGAACCAAAGAUUUGGCCAGAUCUACAGGUCACUUUGGCCAAGGUUACGAGUGAGGUCUCAGAGAUGGGGCAAAAAAAGACUGACUUGGAUGUUUUCAGUCUCAAAAAUUAAAGUCAGGUUCAUGUCCAUUGGAACCAGCUUUCCCAGGUGGGCAGCCAGCACUCCCGUUUUCCCCAAGUUUCAGGAGUUCCCUGUGCCUGGCCUGGAGAAAAGGGAAAACUCCAUCAAGUCUCUGGGAGCUGACGCUGGGGCAGGCCGGUUCCCUGCAGAUCCCACAGGGUUCUGGGUGAAUGGCAGAUGCACUGCUGGCUCUGGGAUGCUCUCAGCCAGAACCCUGGUGCCUCUUCUGCUCUUUGCAUAACUGGAAAUGUGUUCUUAAUAUUUACAACUCUUACUUCUAUUAGGUUCUUGGGGAUGAAGCCUUGAGCAGCCAACUCUGGGAGGCAGCAGGUUCACCAAGAAGGGGAAAGGCUCUAACACUUAAAAACCACCAGGCAGAUGCUUAAGGAAGUGGGCCUCUUGGGAGGUGAAAGGCUAAGAGUGGACACCAGGACUGUUAAAAACAGCUCUUGGGAGUUCCCUGGGGGCCUACAGUUAAGGAUCUAGCAUUGUCACUGCAGUGGCUUGGGUUCAGUCCCUGGCCCAGGAAAUUUCACAUGGCAUGGGCAUGUGAAAAUAAAUAAAAAAAACUGUCCUGGCACUAAGAAUUGCAUAUAAAGAAAUAUAUGUAUUUCAGGAGUAAGAGUUGUUGUUUUGUCCCCAAAUCAGUUAGAAAUCUGAAUAACUGUCCAAUGCAACAGAUACUGCCCCAAACCCACACCCUCUUGUCCUCCUGUUCACAGGCCCACAUUUGGUUUGAUAAUUCACUCUCCUCUUCCUGGUCAGGAUGGGCCUCACCAAUUCCAACACAGUAACUCCUCCCCUUGUCUCUGAUUGGCUGGGGCUGAAGACGAGGCCUAAUUCUGGCCAAUGAGAUGCGUGGGAAAGUCGGGGAGGCUGGGGCUCAGGAAAGUUUCCCUCAUUUUAAUGAGACCCCAAGUAGAGCCGGUGGGGAGGGAAGCUGGCCAGAGAGCAGACCUAUGGAGCGAGCCUAAUGCCUUGACCUCGUGAGCCCUGGAUGUAACCCGUCAUGAAGCUGCCCAAGGUCUGCACUUAAGUUUUAUCAAAAUUUUAAUGUUCUGAGAAUUUAAAUCAUCUUGAGUAGAGUUUUCUCCCACUUGCAGAGGAAGGAAUCCUAAUUGAUACUUCUCAUAAUCUAAGCAAUUGGGGCACCACAAAUUACCUUGGAAUUAAAAAAAUAAAAUAAAAAAGAAAACCACAACCGAAAAACGUCUCUGUCACAAAAGGUUCAGAAACAGCUUCCCUGUCCUCUCCCUGCAAAGCGCAGGGCAGCUUGAGAAGAUCAUGACCAUGGCAGCUGCUCUGCUCUGCCCUCCCCAGGGGCCUCUCUGCCAGGUAUGCAUCUGGGUGAGGGUCCAUGAUGCUGGCAGACAGGCAAGGGCACAGGAGGCUGAGGGAAGGCAGUAUAUGUGUUUCAAGGAUGUCAGAGAGGUCAAAACCAGCCCCUGUUUCGAGUGGGGAGUCCUGAGUUUUGUCCUCAGACUGUGCUCCUCCCUUCUUGCCCUCGGGCCGGAAGUUCCCCCAAAGACUCAGGGGACAAUUCCCUGGCUACAUAAAAUGCCCCUGAUGACACUGGAGACUGGCUUUCACAAGUCAAGCCUCCUUCACUGAUGUGAAACUUCAAACAACUUCCAAAUAAGACCCAGCCCCAGGGCUGGAACACCAAUUGGAGUUAGAAGCCCAGCACUCCCCGUGCUUCCGAGUAGGGACUGAAGGUGAGGCAGCCCCCAGCCCAAACGCUCCUUAUGGAAAAGGGAACAGCCCCACUCACCAGGAGAGAGUCUUCCACAGGCUUUCCAUCUGCAGGAACCAAACAAAAUCUCAUCCUUUCUGUACCUUGCCUCCCUGACUUGCCAUUCAGCUUCGAGGCUCCCUAAGAAAUUUGCUUUUCAGCGCCAAGGGCCAAUACAAUUAGACUUGUUUUUCUAACUCCGAAGCCAAGUUUCCCGCACACAAACACAGCAUAUCCUCCUCAAACUCACAAUUCCCCCCUGGGGAAACUCCCUCUUGUUCAUGUUGUAAGUAGUGCCUAAAACCAGCAGAAAAGAUGAAAAGGGGGGUUACCUGGCUUGUGGGCUGACGGGGGACCGGGUAUCCGACCGCAGGGCUGGCUCCACCUGUCUGACCCGCCAGGCUUGUCAUUGCCGCCGCCGCCAGGCCAGGGCUCACUGCCAGCGCCCGGACCGCCACAGGUGUGCAUUCACCUGCAGAGAGGUGCUCGCACCCAGGUCCCCUCCCCUGCCUGCUCCCACCUGUGACCUGCUCCCACCCCCUCCAGCCAAUCAGGCACUGCGACAUCUCUCCUGCGUCAUUUCAAUUCUCAAUCUAAAGCUGAUGGAAAAAAAGAGCAAAAGGGAAGGGGAAAGAGAGAGGGGAGAGAGAAAACACCAGCCCCCAUACCCACCGGCAGGGCCUCGGUAACAGUCAGAGGUGGGGCCAGGUGGACCAGGAGCCUGAACAAAAGCCUUCCCAGUGAUCGGUGAUGGUCAGGGUCAAAUUCCAGGGCUGCUUUUUUCCCUCUGGGUGGCUAUUUUGGGAAAGCAGCUUUACGCCAGCAGUCGGCAGACUGGCUACCUCGGACGCUGGAAUCCGGAAGACUCAGAGCUCUGCCAGGUCCCAGCCCAGGUGAAGCAGGGAGAGCAGCCCUGGAGAGCAAAGGGUAGUUCCAGGUACCCCCGGAACCCGGACCCCUGCCCUGGGUGCACCCAAGCCCACCCAUCCUCCUGGCCCCACCCUUUCAGUAGGGCUCCCUGGGUACCUGGGGUACUGUCCAGUUUGUGCGAGGAGGUUCUGGUUUGAUGUGUUAACCAGGGGCUGAUGGGUACAGCUGGUGAGGCUAGUGGGGCUGGUGGCAACUGGAGUCCUUGGAGGCUGGAACUAGCUUCUUGUCCAGCCAAGUCGACAGUGAGCAUGGAGCUCUCAGCACUGGCUGAGUGUGAGGCCACAGGUGGUGCCUGGGGAGCGGGUCCAGGCAUCCCAACCACUGCUCAAGUUCAACCGCCUGCUUCAGAAGGCAGCCAAUUACACUGAGCCUCCUCGGAGAGCCACUGCAGAAGAGAAGCAGGGACGCCCUGGAGGAGAGCUGUGGACUCCCUGAGAUCUUCCGAUUUCCAGAGUUUUCUGGUUCAAGGCAGGUGCUAAUAAGUAAGAUCUAAAGGCCCUGCUAGUAAACUAGAACCCAUUUCCCUGAGGAGAGGGUGAGGCAGGGAAAGGAGCCCAAGAGAGAUCCAGAGGCGGAAUUUAGACGGAACCGACCUCCUGCCUCAGGGUUACAGCCCCUACUCACCAGACAUGGGUGGGAGAAUGCGUGGCCUCUGACCUCUGGAUCGGGUCAGUCCUUAGGGCUUCACUGUGCUUCGUGAGGCUCCAUCUCAAGCCAUUGGCUGUCACUGUGGCCCCAGGAGGGGCCACAAACAGGCCAGGCCUUGCUCGAGGGGCCUGAAGCAAGGGCGUGACUGCAGGUGGAUCCUCCUGGGGCCUGACUCCUUCCCCCGCCCCCUCCCCCAAUGCCCGAUCUCAAACAGCCAGUUCUUGGCCUUUCUCCAAGGCCAGUCCCAGGUCAGAGGCCUUAAGAAAAUCCCCCAAGCACUGGCCAAGGUCAGACCGCCCCGGCCCUUAGGUCAACGGCUCCUCACUGGGCUAAGACCCAAACUCACGGGAGACAACUGCAACUUCAGAAAACUGAACUGCCAGGGUGCUGACGAUACAGUCUUCAGCAACAGCCCCAUGUGGCUCAAGGCAAGGACUUCCUAAGCACAGCUAAAGAAGAAGUGUCUGCCUCCAGUUUGGAAGACAAGACUCUUUCAAAUUUACAUACCAAGUCCCAUGAUAAGUCACUCGGGAUCCCCCAAAGUAGAAAGGCUGCUUGCGGUGAGAGCUGGGUGAGCCAACAAAACAAACAACUGAGCCCGAUGACGUCAGCUUUUUGGAAAAGGAACAAAGACAACUGCACCCAAGUGAGCAGCCGCCUAUUGCGCCAAGGCAGUGGCCACCGAAAGCCCGUCCUGCAUCCUCAAGCCCAGAGGCUCUCCAUGGGGGGUGGGGGGGGGAUUUUGUCAAUGUGACAAUGUCUGGAGAACUUUCUGGUGGUCACAAGUGGGAGGGGGUCGUUCCCCAUUGUGGCUCAGCGGGUUAAGAACCCGACACAGUGUCCCUGAGCAAUCCCUGGCCUUGCUCAGUGGAUUAAGGAUCCAGCAUUGCCGUGAGCUGCAGCAUGGUUUGUAGACGGGGCUCAGAGCCGGCAUUGCUGUGGCUGUGGUGUAGACCGGCAGCUCCAGCUCUGACUGGUCCCUUGCCUGGGAACUUCCACAUGCUGCAGGUGUAUUC